AACGUAGGGGACAAGCGUUAUCCGGAUUUACUGGGCGUAAAGCGCCCGUAGGCGGCUUGAUAAGUUGGACGUGAAAGCUCCCGGCUUAACUGGGAGAGGCCGUUCAAAACUGCCAAGCUAGAGUGAGGAAGAGGAGAGCAGAAUUCCCGGUGUAGUGGUGGAAUGCGUAGAGAUCGGGAGGAAUACCAGUGGCGAAAGCGGCUCUCUGGUCCUAAACUGACGCUGAGGGGCGAAAGCGUGGGGAGCGAACGGGAUUAGAAACCCCCGUAGUCC
This 273-nucleotide ribosomal RNA is filed under the name uncultured bacterium. RNAcentral describes it as "partial 16S ribosomal RNA". It matches the Rfam family "Bacterial small subunit ribosomal RNA", at positions 524 to 796 of the family's 1533-position model. The record is from RNAcentral.